Molecule: ribosomal RNA, 252 nt
Filed under: uncultured bacterium
Lineage: Bacteria
Description: partial 16S ribosomal RNA
Rfam family: Bacterial small subunit ribosomal RNA
Source: RNAcentral
GACAGAGGGUGCAAACGUUGCUCGGAAUUACUGGGCGUAAAGCGCGUGUAGGCGGGCUGAUAAGUCGGACGUGAAAUCCCUGGGCUCAACCCAGGAACUGCAUCCGAAACUGUCAGUCUGGAGUGGUGAGAGGGAAGCAGAAUUCCUGGUGUAGAGGUGAAAUUCGUAGAUAUCAGGAGGAACACCGGUGGCGAAGGCGGCUUCCUGGACACUAACUGACGCUGAGACGCGAAAGCGUGGGGAGCAAACAGG